UAGAGUUUGAUCCUGGCUCAGGAUAAACGCUAGCGGCAGGCCUAACACAUGCAAGUCGAGGGGCAUCGGAUAGAGUACUUCGGUACUCUUGCCGGCGACCGGCGGACGGGUGCGUAACGCGUAUGCAACCUGCCUUCAACAGGGGGAUAAUCCGAAGAAAUUUGGUCUAAUACCCCAUAAUAUUCCGACAGGCAUCUGUCGGAGUUGAAAGCUUCGGUGGUUGGAGAUGGGCAUGCGUUGUAUUAGCUAGAUGGUGAGGUAACGGCUCACCAUGGCGAUGAUACAUAGGGGGACUGAGAGGUUUUCCCCCCACACUGGUACUGAGACACGGACCAGACUCCUACGGGAGGCAGCAGUGAGGAAUAUUGGUCAAUGGACGGAAGUCUGAACCAGCCAUGCCGCGUGCAGGAUGAAUGUGCUAUGCAUUGUAAACUGCUUUUGUACGAGGGUAAACCCAGAUACGCGUAUCUGCUUGAAAGUAUCGUACGAAUAAGGAUCGGCUAACUCCGUGCCAGCAGCCGCGGUAAUACGGAGGAUCCGAGCGUUAUCCGGAUUUAUUGGGUUUAAAGGGUGCGUAGGCUGUUUUUUAAGUUAGAGGUGAAAGCUCGACGCUCAACGUCGAAAUUGCCUCUGAUACUGAGAGACUAGAGUGUAGUUGCGGAAGGCGGAAUGUGUGGUGUAGCGGUGAAAUGCUUAGAUAUCACACAGAACACCGAUUGCGAAGGCAGCUUUCCAAGCUAUUACUGACGCUGAGGCACGAAAGCGUGGGGAGCGAACAGGAUUAGAUACCCUGGUAGUCCACCGUARACGAUGAUAACUCGUUGCCGGCGAUACACAGUCGGUGACUUAGCGAAAGCGUUAAGUUAUCCACCUGGGGAGUACGUUCGCAAGAAUGAAACUCAAAGGAAUUGACGGGGGCCCGCACAAGCGGAGGAACAUGUGGUUUAAUUCGAUGAUACGCGAGGAACCUUACCCGGGCUUGAAAGUUAGCGACGGAUCGAGAAAUCGGUCUUCCCUACGGGGCGCGAAACUAGGUGCUGCAUGGUUGUCGUCAGCUCGUGCCGUGAGGUGUCGGGUUAAGUCCCAUAACGAGCGCAACCCCUACCGUUAGUUGCCAUCAGGUCAAGCUGGGCACUCUAGCGGGACUGCCGGUGUAAGCCGAGAGGAAGGUGGGGAUGACGUCAAAUCAGCACGGCCCUUACGUCCGGGGCGACACACGUGUUACAAUGGCCGGUACAGAGGGUAGCUACUUGGUGACAGGAUGCCAAUCUCGAAAGCCGGUCUCAGUUCGGAUUGGAGGCUGAAACUCGCCUCCAUGAAGUUGGAUUCGCUAGUAAUCGCGCAUCAGCCAUGGCGCGGUGAAUACGUUCCCGGGCCUUGUACACACCGCCCGUCAAGCCAUGGGAGUUGGGGGUGCCUGAAGUACGUGACCGCAAGGAGCGUCCUAGGGCAAAACCGAUGACUGGGGCUAAGUCGUAACAAGGUAGCCGUA
Molecule: ribosomal RNA, 1492 nt
Filed under: Alistipes ihumii AP11
Lineage: Bacteria; Pseudomonadati; Bacteroidota; Bacteroidia; Bacteroidales; Rikenellaceae
Description: Candidatus Alistipes marseilloanorexicus AP11 16S ribosomal RNA
Rfam family: Bacterial small subunit ribosomal RNA
Source: RNAcentral